CAGUAGCCACGGUAAUACGAAGGUCCCGAGCGUUGUUCGGAACCACUGGGCGUAAAGGGAGCGUAGGCGGCGUGGUAAGUCAGAUGUGAAAUCCCGGGGCUCAACCCCGGAACUGCAUCCGAUACUGCCAUGCUAGAGGAUUGGAGAGAUAGCUGGAAUUCUUGGUGUAGCAGUGAAAUGCGUGGAGAUCAAGAGGAACACUCGUGGCGAAAGCGAGCUACUGGACAAUAACUGACGCUGAGGCUCGAAGGCCAGGGUAGCGAAAGGGAUUAGAGACCCCCGUAGUCCCUGUCUCUUAUAC
Molecule: ribosomal RNA, 301 nt
Filed under: uncultured bacterium
Lineage: Bacteria
Description: partial 16S ribosomal RNA
Rfam family: Bacterial small subunit ribosomal RNA
Source: RNAcentral